GUUUUUGUUAAGGUUGGAGCAGCUCCAAAGAGAGGCUCUGCCUCCGUGCGGCUGUCUGUUUGGGAAUCCUGAAUGUUUUACUUUUGGCUGAACUCAUUGCCCUCAGUGUACACACUCAUGACAUGACAGCAGAUUUUUCUGACAUCAGCAACAUUCUGACCGACCAGAACAGCAACAGCGAGUUUCCCUCCAUGAAUGCUAACUUCACUGAAACGGCUCCACGAGCUGAAGACACUUUAAGGGAAAUUGUGUCCUACAGAACGGACAAACAUCAGUUGUUCCUGUUCAU
Molecule: long non-coding RNA, 289 nt
Organism: Xiphophorus hellerii (green swordtail)
Lineage: Eukaryota; Metazoa; Chordata; Actinopteri; Cyprinodontiformes; Poeciliidae
Exons: 3
Source: RefSeq, a predicted model, not a curated record